This is a long non-coding RNA of Bradysia coprophila, 207 nucleotides long. The record is from RefSeq and is a predicted model, not a curated record. Lineage: Eukaryota; Metazoa; Arthropoda; Insecta; Diptera; Sciaridae.
UCAUAAUUCUCUAUUUUAAAGAGCGAGAAAACCGAAGACUGUAGUGUUCAAAGAGAGUUCUCAUUUUGACAUAUCACCCACCGAGAUCAGUUGAAUUAACUGGUUUUUUCCCCUUUUUACAUACAAACUUUGACAUAUCACCCAUCGAGGUCAGUUAAUUUAACUGGUUUUUACCCCUGUUUUUACGCUCUUUGAACACUGUAUAAC